Molecule: long non-coding RNA, 3899 nt
Organism: Triticum dicoccoides
Lineage: Eukaryota; Viridiplantae; Streptophyta; Magnoliopsida; Poales; Poaceae
Exons: 8
Source: RefSeq, a predicted model, not a curated record
UAUAUUCAACCCGUGGUCAUUUUAAAGGGACGGGCUCUUUUCCUUUAUGCGUGCUCUGCUCGAUCUAGACGGGCAUGGCGCCGUCGGCGGCGGCAGGUCUUUUUCUCCGGCCAUCCGCCGGCCUGUUCUCCUUCCCCUCCCGAUCCGCCCCUAAUACUCUCCGGCGCCACCCGCAGCCUCUUCAAUCUCGAACCUCCUGCACAUGUGUCGUGCUUCUCUGACUUGGAUCAGAGUUGGAUUUUGUGUCCUCAAAUCCAUGGAGUAGCCACCAAAUUCCGUCGAAUCGCCGCGUCAACCUCCCCGCGGCGGCCGCACCGCCCAGGAACCCCAGCCAUCGCUCCUGCCAGGCCAGGCUCCGCUGCCGAGGUCCCGCGUCGCCAUUUGAUCCCCAAGUGCCUAUCCGCCAUCUCAACGGCCUCACCCAGCGAGCUCGCCUGGACCCUAAGGUCAUUGGAGCGAGCCUCCACCAGGCCACCCGACGCGCCAAUGAUCCCGUGUGCUGCCGCUCGAAGCUCCCCUGCUCGCUGCCCUCCACGCACCGCCGCCCUGGCCUAGCAGAUUAAUGGAGGGCGCGACCAACUUUGGUUCGUGCCUCGGUGCUCCUCGCCGUUCACCAGCUGCCGCAUCCAACUUCUCCACUAUGGGAGUUCAUUAUGGCACCGUACAACCACCAAUUAAUAGAGAACAUGGGGGAAGGGAAAGGAGAUGAUGCAGCCGGUGCUAUGUCGAACCAUCGACGCGGCAGACGCAGCAUACAAAUGCCCUGUAGGUGGCCGGACCUGGGGAUCUCCAUCAAGGUCGACAACGAGUUGUAGUACUGUGUCCAGCCAACAACUCCUUUUACUUCUCAGGGGAGGACACUGGUCGUUUGGUUAAAAAAAGGAGUGUGGGAACUCGUCAUCCUUUCUCAAACAUUCUCACUCAGUCAAGUGCCAAGGUUCAUGGUGACAAAUGGACAUACUGUUUCAGGCUUAUGACUAAGAAUUAGAAACACAGACUCAAAUUAAUUAGAUGCUCUAAUUAGAAGAUGUUGCUUAUGAAAUCGGUAGAGCCAUGCAUCUGCAAUUAUCUAUUAGCAACAUCAGGAGAGGUUCAAGAUUACAUUCAAGGAGAGAACACAAGCAUGAUGAUACUCAAUAAAGUGAAGCAAUGGGCAGACUUGCAAGAGAGGGAGUAGUCCGGGCCUAUCACACAAUGUAAAUAUGUGAACUGCUCUUUCCAAAAUCGCUACAAAAUUCAUGUUAAUUUCCUGCAAAUGAAUAAGGUAUGAUUUUUUUGUAUGAAUUUCUAUUUUGCGUUGUCUAGGCUUUGCAAGGUGGCCAUGACUAAUAUUAUUGUAAAAAAGCACUGUAACUUUUGCCUCGAAUGAAACAAGGUCUUUGGGCGAGACAGUAAGCACCCAAAACAUUUUUUCUUGCUUCUUUCUUGAAUUUCCGGUUAUCCUCUAUUCCCCUGCUUCUUUUUCACUGGUUGUGAAUCAUCCGUUGCUGUCACUAAAUUCAUGUUGGAAUAUCUACAUCGAUUUGACAUAAGCACAUUGAUGAGAGUGCUUGAAGCUGCCACAGUUAAGCUAGAGCUAUUUUAUUUUAUUUUUAUUUUGCGAAGAAGAGCCAUCUCAAUUUAAAGUGUGAGCUGUUUGUGUUUUCAAUACCAGACCUGCUAUCGAUUUUUAUUUUUUUGUAGUGAAGCUAGCUGUUGUUAUGUUGGAAACCGAACUUACUGCAUCUAGAAAAGAAUACUCAUUGUGCCACCAGUUAGUAGCAAUUAAUCGAAUCCCGAUGGUUAGAAGCAGGUUUCACUUUUUAUGCUGAAAACUUCUGUUAUUAUUUUCCUUGAUGAGUUUUGAUUUGUUCCAAUUGCUGAUUGGCUGGCUUGGUUUUAUGAUUUUCCGAGUAUUUUACUAUUAUGACAUUCUUAUAUUCCUUCUUUUUACGGGUUAACAUUCUUAUAUUCGUCUUCAUAUACAAUUGGAUAGUUUUGCUUUUCUUCAGGCUGGGGGCUCAUAUCUCUCCCUAAUAAUAAAGCACGGAUUGGGUCUCCGGGUUCACCGUCGUGCACUUUUGUAAAGAAACCCCUGUUGAUUUCGGUAUUGUACGCGCAGUCCUCACAAUAAGUUAACACGAACCGGUACGCCAGAGAAAAGGAAAGAAAAUCAGCCCCCCUCUCCCCGCACGCCCUGCCUCCCAAUCCCAUCUCCAACCCCUGCCACGCCCCUCACCGCGCGCCGCCGUGCGCCACCACCAGCCACCACGCCGGCGCGCCUACCCCUCCCCGACCGGCUACACGCAGAUGAUGCUCGAGUGCACCUUCUGGCUCGGUUCAAUGCGGCGGCUCGAGCGGUUGGGGGUGGCACAGCAGCUCGAUGCAGAACAGACGGCGGCGGCUGGAGCUUGCAGGGGCGGAUCCAUGCAUGGCAGGGGUUGGGGAGGCUGAUCCAAAAGCGGGCGGCGAGGAGGGGGUCGCCGGUGGCGACGAGGAAAGCCGGAGUGAGGGAUCCGGCGACCUAGGCAGGAGCUCGCCGGAGCUGGGCGAUGGCAGACGGGCGCGUGAGACGGAGGGAUCCGGCGUGGCAGCACGAAUUUCUUGCAGGUAGAUAGCUCCAAGCCAUGCCAGCUCUUCAGUUUUCCCUGGUGGAAAAGAGAGAAAGAGGAGGAUUCAGGGAGGAGGAGAGGUAGGGAGAAGAAGGUGCAGGUGCGAGCUUGGGGAAGAGGGAGCAGAACGUCAAGUGAGAGACUGUGAGGAUUAGGGAUUCUUGUUAGCCAGCAUGGUAAGGUGGAGAGGCUGCUUAGGGAACAUUAUAUGAUUUAUGCAGCAGAGAGGAGGCUGCAAGGGGAGAGGAACGGUGCAUUGAGGUUGAGGUACACAGGACACAUCGGGACCCGGGAGCUCCAGAAGAGGCUCGAUCGAUCUUGACAAGAACAGACUAUAUAUAGUGCAGAGAAGAUGAACCAUGCAAAAACUCAGGCUGGACCACCGGGGCUUCACUGCUGGCGGAACAGUAGAGGGCUUGGCUGCUACCAGGGUGAUCCAAAUGGAGCGUGUUUGUGGCCUCUUGCACUGCAUGAUUAAUGGUAGCUUCUAUUACAUGACAUGAUUUUUGCAGCUGACAUGUUUCAUGCGAGAGGACAUAAAUUUGCAUCCUAUUUUUCUGUCCAAUUGGUUCCAAAUCACAAAUGUUUGUGCUAUCAGUGACAAUUUGAUGGAAAAGACGAGUCAUAUAUACAGCCAAUGAAAGCUUUCACAUCAGCCGUUGCUCUUGAUUGUCUUUGCAAGUCCAUAGAUAUAAUUUUUAUGAUUUUCCUUUACUCAUAGUAAGUACUGAAUAUUUUGUGCUUCAACCCUUUAGGUGUUAAUUUCUGUGAUGCAGCUAGCAAAGUUGGCAAUAGGUACAGUACUAUAACCAUCAUGAUCUGCACAGGGAUAUCACCUAGGUACAUAAAUCAUAAUCAUUCAGUUUUUAUUUGGCAAGCUGGAGCUACCCAGAACUUCCGAUUUUGGUGCCAAGAUGGAUGGAUUGAACCGGGUGACCCACUGUCAGGUAUUAUUGUUCAGUUAUCCUGAGGGUAAUGUGGAUAUGUUCUGUUUGAGAUCAAAGCUUGGUAUUGCUAGAAAAUAUAUAUAUGUGCACUGAGAUUUCAAAUAUAUAACAGCAUUGAUACAACGUAAGGUUUCCCUUGCUAUCGUACAUUUUUUCAUUACUAUCAUAACCUUUUUAGAUCAAGCAUGUCAUGCAUUACAUUUCAUUAUGUAUGUUGCAACUUCAAGACCACAAUGCCUCUGUAUGUAACAUCUGUAUGCUGAUUAUUUUUUGGAAUUGAAUUAUGUAUUCAAAGCUAUUGUUCAGCAUAUACAUCGUUUGAAAAUCAUACAAGGGGCAAAAUUUAUAUGUACCCUUCUGU